Long non-coding RNA from Meriones unguiculatus (Mongolian gerbil), 7159 nucleotides. RefSeq lists it as uncharacterized. The transcript has 2 exons. The record is from RefSeq and is a predicted model, not a curated record. Lineage: Eukaryota; Metazoa; Chordata; Mammalia; Rodentia; Muridae.
AAAUAGUACCAAAAUAGUACCAAAACAGUACCAAAAUAGAUUAUAAUAAAUUAUAUAUGAAAAAUUCUCAUUGAUAGGAGUUAGAGGGGAGAUUCCACCCUAGCAGUGAAUACUUUCUCCUUACACUGGAGAGUUGUAUGUAAUAGGGGAAACAAUCUAAGGGUCUUUCUGAAUGGGGAAUGGCCUGGGUAAGUAAACUGUAAUCAGUCAGAGGUUAAAUUACUGUACUGGUGUUCAAAGGAAAAAACUGCAAUCUGUGGUCACUUGAUAGGUUUUUAAAAUGUAAUGCUAAAGGGUAAUUGCAAGUGGUAGGGAUAUUUAAGUAAGCAUUAGAUCCAUGUGCAAAAAAACAACUGUGUUUCAUACAGAUAUAUGUAUAUGAUUAUAUUUUUAAAGGUUCUUUAGGAGCCAUUCCAAAUUCCUAAUUACAUGUGGGAAAGGAUGUGUUGGGUAGAUAAAGGAUUGGCAGGUUGGUCAGAGGACACUUUGGCUCUGUCCGUGAUACACACUCAUGUUUUAUUUGAUAACCAAAUGUUGCUCUCAUUUCGUAUGUUGUAAAUCGUCGAAGUACUGUGUGCACACAUCAAAGUGUGCUCAUUUAAAUACAUUCACGGGAUGUGACUGGCUUAUCUCUGCACGGCCACUACAGGGUGUACGGUGCUCUGCUGCUCACAAGUUUUGUACCUCCCAAACGGUUUCUCUGCUCCCAGCCUAGGUUAGCCAGAGCUCUGCUUUUGGUUACUACCAACUAGAUUUCUCUUCCUACAGCUCUUGGCAGUGGGAUGUUCCGGGGUGAGCUUUGCCCUCUUUCACACGGGGAUGUUUUAUGUUUAUUUUUUGUCUUUGAGCCCAGGUUGGCUGUGAAUUUGAAUUCUGUGUCAGCCUUCCAAGUGCUGGGAUUAUAGGCAUAUCGACCAUGCUUGGUGACUCCAGGUUUUUGGUAUUGAUCCUGUGGUGUACGUUGGUAGUGUAUUCCUUAUUGUCGGUGGACACUACGUUCUGCUUUAUCUAGAACGUUCAGUUGAGUCCAGUGCAUUAAGUGUUAAGCAUCCCCCACUUAAAUUAGCACUAGCUUGGAUAUUUAAAACCCAGUUAAGGAGUUCACUUCCAAACAGAAGCAGAAUCUUCCUUAAAUAAAUAGUUGACGGAGAUUGAUUGGCUUUUCAUCAGGUUGACAAGUUAGGGUUUGUGCACAAGAGAUGGGCUCAGCUCUGCCUUUUUGGUUUUCUAAUAUGUGCUUUUGCUGUGUAGUCCAAGCUGGCCUUGAACUCAACAGCAGUCCUCCCUCAGUCCAUCAAGUGGUGGGCUACAGCUGUGCCCACUACACACAGCUGUUCUUCAUGUCAGGAGUGACGGCUUUUUAAUGCUCAGGUCCACUGAACUCAACUCCUGUAUGUAUGGAAUCGAGGUUCAGAGCAUCCUCUCUCUGGUAACGGCAUCAGACCUUGUGUGUGCUAAGCCUGAGGUUUUCCACAACAGCACUUGUCCCUGAGAUUAAAAACCCAGUGCUGGGUAGAUAAUUUAGUCAAGUCCUCGCCAUGUUGAGUCCAUCCCAGAACCCAUGUCAAAAAAUCCAAGCGUGGUGGCGCCUGUUUAUAAUCUCAGCUCCAGGGAAGCAGAGAUAGGUGAAUGCCUGGGCUUUGCUGGCCUGCCAGCCCAGCUUACAUGGUCAGCUCCACAUCCACUGAGAGACUGAACAAAAGACAAGGUCCAUGGUUCCUGGAGCUUGACCUCUGACCUCCACAUGCGUGCACAUACAGAAUACAAGGACUUAGGAGUCAGUUAAACUUAAUAAUACAGAAUUGCUGUUUCUGUGAGUCAAGACCGUACAAAUUCUUAGCAGUGUAAUAUUAUAUGCUCAACUUAUUUUUUAAAAAAAUUAUGAUUUCUACGAAUUGGGAGAAACUGAAGAAUAAGAUUGGAUCACUUACUUAGAUACUUUUCAGAAAAAAUAAAAUAAGUGGGAAGGGGUGGUGUGGAGGAACUGGUGCGGAGAACAGGACAGAGAAAGGGAAAGAGCUAAGAUGUAAUUAAAGCUCCCCACAGUCUAGGGCUCCAAGCACACAGUCAGCUGCUGAAAAUGGAAUGCAGACGUAGAUGACAUGAGAUCAAGAAAUGCUUGGACCAGUCUUCGUACUGUUUGUGCUUCUGACUGCUAUGUUAUGGGCCACUUGAGAGCGGGGCUUCCACAACUGUAGCUCCUGUGGCCAGCAUCCGGUGGCUGUCCAUCUGUUAUUUUAAACAGGAGCAUCUUCAGACCCAGCAUCUAGCACUGACUUACGCUUUGCUGCUGUUAGUCAUUACUAUAGCAGCCCCUCCCCUAACCCCUUUGUGCACGCUGUGAUUAAACCCAAGGUCUUACACAUACGUUAGGCAAGUGCUUUACCGCCAGUCAUAUCCCAGUAUUUCUUGUUGUUUUAAAGAGUCUCGCUGGGUAGCUCGGGCUACCCGCCAACAUUUCCAGUCUCUCACAAUAUUUUUUUUUCUCCCUGAAUUUUGUUGAAUGCGCUAAGAAUAGUUAAUGCUCACUUGUGUACCUAGUGGCCAACAUUAGUCUGAGGGCACAUGCACAGAAGAUGCUGAGGCAGGAAGAUUGCUUGAACAAAGGGAAACCCGUGGGUGUGGGUGCUGUAUUCUGGGUAACUAGUAUUGUAUUCUUUUCUUAGGAAGGAUGAGGCAAGGUAUGGAUUCCAGUCACAGUAAGGAUUUCUCUGGUGGAAUGAUAAACGCAGACAAAAGUUGGUUUUAGAGCCAGAAGGUGGCAGGUUCCUCAAAUAACUGCUAACCAGAGGCUGGGGCCAAGAGGAUUACUUGAGCUGCAAACGUAGACUAGGCGAUACAGUGAGAUCGUGUCUUUAUUAAACUGAAUUUUAAAAAUACUAACUGUAUAGACUUAAAAAUGCCAAGGGGAUAGCAAGAGUUUAAAAACCAUGUUGUGUAGCAAGAGGUCUGACAGGAAAACUACUGCCUUAAUUAAUGUUUUUUAAUGUGUAGAGGUUUGGGCACAACUUGUACUCAUGUUCCAUGAUUUUCUUGAACAUCCACAGACAUUUGGGAGGGAAAAUAAACUUAACUCUCGUUUUUAAGGAGAGGACAUUGAGAGACCUGGCAAGAGAUAUGUUCAGGAUUAUGCCUGAAGGGCGACCUGAGCAUCGGACACUGAAAUAGCUCCCACUUCCUGUACCCGAGGCUGCUGUGCAGGGGAGGGCCACUCAGCAGGGCUGGCUCGGUUGAGAGAACCCUCGUUAUUCUUGCUCACUCUUCUUGGCUUCCUCAGCAGAUCUCACUAUGUUGCCAACUUGGACUUGCAGUCUUGAUUCCUGUCUCUAGCCUCCUGAGUGGAUGGAGGGGCUGGCUUUGGACAUAUGCCAUUGUGAGCAUGUGCUCACCUGGUGAAAGAAAUAAAGUCUUCAAAAUAUUCCUGGGAGGCAAAGAGAAAAGGCUUUCAGAACAUUUCUGAAAGUCUGGGGCCUAAUGAUCGUCACGGAGCAGAAGUGUUGGGCACGCGGCUUGCAGUGAAUCUGCCGUGAGAACUGCAGAAGGCAGCUGUCCUGUCCUCGUUGAACCCGCCAUGCCAUUGCUUUCUCUAGGAAUUUCACUUUCUCAGCUACCUUGUUAGCCAGCAACUUCAAAAAACCCAUCUGUGUUUUUACCGGGUCAGUUUUGUUUGAGGUCGUAAGCCACACAGGAGAAAAACAGGUUAGCCUUUCUUGUUGAUUCUUUUCCGGGCUAUUGAGGAACAAAUGAACCGUUUUUUAUAUUCCCCCUUGUUCAAGGUGGUGAUACUAGGCACCUACUGGGCAUCAGGGAGAGCCCUAGGUCCUCUGCAUAAGUUCCUUGGGGCUUGAUCAACACUGAUCUCACAGAGAUUAGCCAUUUUCCUUCAAAAAUGGCUGAUCAGGGGCUGAGAGGUAGUUCAGGGAUUAAGAGCACCGGCUGCCUUUGAGAGGGUCUGAGUGCAAGUUUCAGCACCCAAGUAGCAGCUCACAACUGUCCGUAACUGUCACUUCCAGAGGAUCUGCCACCCUGGCACGGAUGCAGUCAGAACACCAAUGCCCAUAAAAAUAAAUCUUGAGAAGAAAUGAAAAAGAAAAAGGGGUUCUCAACAAGGCUGGCUCUUUUGUGCCACUGUCUUGUCCCUUCAGCACAUGGCCUGGCUGGUUCCUCUCUGCGCAUCCCCCAUGUUGUAAUGCAACCUUAGCUGGCUCUCAUCUCAACAGUACCAUGCUAUCUGACCUUUGCAACAACCAGAAUCACAAGCCAGAUUUUUACUUUCUGUGUAGUCCCAGCCUCUGGCGUUUUGUGGCAGUAACAGACUAACAGAACGUCCUUUUUCUUAGUUGAGCAAUUUACUGCUAUUAAGCAGAUGGACUUUUCCACCAAGCAUAACAUUCGUGUUUUUCCUGACUUGUAGUAUCUCCCACUUCCUUUAAAUAGAUGAUGCUGAUUUUCCAGUCCUACCCAAACAUCUGCAUAGUCACACAACUUACUUAUUUUACCAAAAUCUGUAGCAUGCAGUUAACCCUGACCGGGUAUAACCUUACUCCCUAGAUUGUGUACUUUUCUAGUUUGGAUGCUCUACACUCCAAAGGCCAGCAUGUUAAAGGCCUUCCUAUACGGCUCAUGGUGCUAUUGGUAGGGGUAGAACCUUUUAAGAGGUAGGGCUAGAUGAAGUUAGGCUAGGAAGUGUGCCUUUGAAGGAGGUAUUGGGAGCCUGGCCCAUCCCUGUUUUACUCUUUGCUAAAGCAGUGGGGCCAAACAGUCAUGGACUGAAAGCUCUGAAUUUAUAAGCUAAAAUAAAGCAGUUGUCCUUUGCUGACGUUGAUUUCCUCAGGUGUUUUGCUACAUUAAUGGGGAAGCCAGCAAGCAAAUAACUUAACAAACAAGCCUUUUGAGAAAAGGGACCAUUUGAUUUUUUUUUUUUUUUUUUUUUUUUUUUUUUACUAUUUAGGGGCUGGAGAGAUGGCUUGUUGGUUAAGAAAACCUACUGUUCUCUCCUGAGGACCAGGCUUCAGUUCCUAGCACCCACGUGUUGGCUUAUGACCAUUCAGGACUCCAGUCCCAGGAGAUCUUUAUCCCUUUUCUGACCUCUGACAUCAGUUUUCCUGAUCCCAUCCUCCUGAGCACACAGAGGAAGACCUGAGCUAUCCUUUUUUUCUGCAGCAAUGCAGGCACUCCAUCUGUUUAGCCAGCUCUGCACCUCCAUUGGGUGAGUGACCUGCUCCUAACAGGUAACAGGCACCCCUUGUAGGUGCUACUUUUUAACUAUUUUAUUUGGGGUUCCUUAAGCCUCUACGUCCCUUCCAACCCCCAACCCUAGGUAGAAGAGAAAGAAAGUUAGAUGGGAAAGGGACGUAGGUCUCUUUAGACUUAGUUCUGGCUGGUGAGGGUGGUCGGGUUCUUCGGGACAAUAACAAUCUCGGUCAUUAGGACCGAGCCUUCUUCCUUUUCUGACUGUCUCCUCAAAGCCUCUUUCAGAAUUAAACUAUCUGCAGCUGGCAAAGACUACGCCCCUCUCUGAGGCCUACGAGGUAAUUAUCAGCUGUGGAUGACCAGAAGCAGCCCCAUAUCCCACACUUGGGAUUAAAACAAAAAACCUGUUUACGUAACAUAACCGAGUCUUUAGAGCAACCAAAACUUGGACUACGCCCCCUGCUGUUUGAAGGUAGGUAUGAGCACAGGCCACACCAUUGCUUUUGACAGUGGUGAGUGAAGAUCUCGAGAAACCUCCAAGGCAGGAGGCUAGUUAGCUCUAAGGUCACAGUGAGGCUCUUCCCGGUGGCCUAGGCACCUCAAUGUGUGCUUCUAAGCAGUGGCUGGCCAGCCAGCUAGUGUUUCUUGUGGGUGGAGAAGGGACCACCAGUCUUUAGUCACGGUGGCCCUACUGUGAGCUCCUCCUCAACUCUUCAGACUGCUUCCUCCUGUAGUCCUAGUUCUCCUUUCGUAUCUGAAUGAAAAAAAGAAAGAAAAGGACACAACUGCUGCUAGGUACGAGGAGGAAGGAAACUGUUUAUUGUAGGUAAGAGGGAGAGCUUAGCCAGAGGCAGAGACAUCUGAAAGAGUCCAAAGUGGACGUGACCAGGAUGAGCUGGGCUAAGUGGGGAGAGGAGCAAGGAAAGAGAGAGGGGAGAAAGGGAAACCAGCUGCAGCAGCCCAGAAGGCAAAGAUACAAAAGGAUAGGUAAUCAGAAUGCUGAAUUAUACAGGGUAGAGCCUCCUGGGGCAGGGCGGCCCAGCCCCUGGGCUGGAGUGUAGGGUAGGGGGCAGAGUCGGCCAGACACACCCUGUAACAGGUAGGGACUGAGGGGUGCUGGAGGGACCUGGAGUCUAGAUCUAAUGUGACAGGUUAAAUAGGCACCUCAGCUUUGGUCCCAGGGCUUGACACUUAACAAAUCCAAAUUCUGCAUGUGAAAAACAUGCAUUUAUCUUUCUGCUUCCUGUUUAUUUCAUUUGCUAUAAUAGUCUCUAGUUUCAACCAUGUUUUCUGCAAAAGACAUAAGUUACAGCUGAAUUAAACUCCGCUAAUAUGUGUGUGGCUCAUCUUUCUUUAUUGGUCUACACUGGCUGCAUCUUGGCUAUUGUGAAUACUUCAAGAAUGAACACAGAUAUGCAAAUAUCUCUGUGAUAUUCUGACUUCUAUUCUGUCAGGCAUACAAUCAGAAGCAGUUCCGCUGGGUCGUGUGGUAGUUGGCAUCUUUGAAGAGCCUCGGUACUUACACAGUAGCCAACUAGAUCACAUUCUCACCAGCGGUGGAUAAACACCCCACCUUGUCUUCAUAGCUGUUUUGAGUGGGGUGAGACAAAGGUUAAUAUAUUCAAUUUGUAUUUCCCCAAUGCUAAGGAGGUUAAACAUUUUCCUCUGUAUUUUCUGCUAUUUGUAUUCCUUUUUGGGGAAUGAGACUAUUAAUAAUUUUUAAUGUUCAGUUAUUGUCCAUUUGUAGGUUGGCUGAUUUUGUGUUGUGUGUGUGUUUUACUUUGUAGAUUCUAGAUAUUAGUCUCAGGUGGACGCCCAGAUGUUUUCCCAUCCUGUAGACCAUGCGUGUCUAAUCCUGAGCCACAUGCAGCCCGGGACAGGUGUGAAUGUGGGGUAACACAGAUCUUAAAUUUAUUUCAAACAUUGUGAGAUCUAAAAAUUAAAAAUUAAAAAUAAUUUCUCAAGA